CUACUGGGGUUUCUAAUCCUGUUCGAUACCCGCACCUUCGAGCCUCAGCGUCAGUUACGCUCCGGAUGGCUGCCUUCGCGAUCGGAGUUCUUCAGGAUAUCUAAGCAUUUCACCGCUACACCCUGAAUUCCGCCAUCCCUGCGCGUACUCAAGAAAUAUAGUUUCAACUGCAUAACAGAGUUGGGCCCUGAUAUUUAACAGCUGACUUACACUCCCGCCUGCGCUCCCUUUAAACCCAAUAAUUCCGGAUAACGCCCGGACCUUCCGUAUUACCGCGGCUGCUGGCAC
RNAcentral lists this ribosomal RNA (288 nucleotides) under uncultured Alloprevotella sp. RNAcentral's name for it is "partial 16S ribosomal RNA". The record is from RNAcentral. Lineage: Bacteria; Pseudomonadati; Bacteroidota; Bacteroidia; Bacteroidales; Prevotellaceae.